AUGUCCCAGCAAGGAUUUGCAGACACUGGAAACAAUGUUCAACUUGAAGCAGACAAAGCUUCUCUCUCGAGAAGCUCAUCAGGAGAAGGCAGCAUAAAUUCACGUACUUCGGAGGGCUCAUGUCAGGGAAGUCCCGCAAACCAAACGUUUGUUUGCCAGCCUAUUGCUUCGAUGUUAUUGGAACCACAAGAACCACAACUGAAUCCGGAAGGGUUCACAAAAGAACCUUUCCAAGAACCAGAGCUACCACUUUCCAGGAUGCUCAUAGAGGAUUCUGGUAGUUCCAAGGAUUUGAAGAAUCUCUUUGGUUCAGCAAUUGGCCAACCAAUGCUAGCCCCUCCCAGCAAUUUUGGGCCAAUGCGAAAUUCCGGGACUGUGACGAUAAAGGCGAGCUUUAAGGAAGACAUUGUAAGGUUCCGUUUCCCAUGUUCUAGCAGCGUUAUGGCAUUGAAAGAUGAGGUUGCCGAAAGGCUGAGGAUGGAUGCUGGCAUGUUUGAUAUCAAGUACCUUGAUGAUGAUCACGAGUGGGUGAAGUUGGCGUGCAAUGCGGACUUGGAAGAAUGUAUAGAAAUCUCCCGGCAUUCUGGUACCCAUGUCAUCAGGCUCUUGGUUACCGAUGUUGCAGCCCACAUUGGUAGUUCUUGUGGAACCUCCGGUUGA
RNAcentral lists this ribosomal RNA (660 nucleotides) under Triticum aestivum (bread wheat). RNAcentral describes it as "partial small subunit ribosomal RNA". The record is from RNAcentral. Lineage: Eukaryota; Viridiplantae; Streptophyta; Magnoliopsida; Poales; Poaceae.